AUUGAACGCUGGCGGCAGGCCUAACACAUGCAAGUCGAGCGGCAGCGGAAAGUAGCUUGCUACUUUGCCGGCGAGCGGCGGACGGGUGAGUAAUGUCUGGGAAACUGCCUGAUGGAGGGGGAUAACUACUGGAAACGGUAGCUAAUACCGCAUGACCUCGAAAGAGCAAAGUGGGGGAUCUUCGGACCUCACGCCAUCGGAUGUGCCCAGAUGGGAUUAGCUAGUAGGUGAGGUAAUGGCUCACCUAGGCGACGAUCCCUAGCUGGUCUGAGAGGAUGACCAGCCACACUGGAACUGAGACACGGUCCAGACUCCUACGGGAGGCAGCAGUGGGGAAUAUUGCACAAUGGGCGCAAGCCUGAUGCAGCCAUGCCGCGUGUGUGAAGAAGGCCUUAGGGUUGUAAAGCACUUUCAGCGAGGAGGAAGGCACCAUACUUAAUACGUGUGGUGAUUGACGUUACUCGCAGAAGAAGCACCGGCUAACUCCGUGCCAGCAGCCGCGGUAAUACGGAGGGUGCAAGCGUUAAUCGGAAUUACUGGGCGUAAAGCGCACGCAGGCGGUUUGUUAAGUCAGAUGUGAAAUCCCCGCGCUUAACGUGGGAACUGCAUUUGAAACUGGCAAGCUAGAGUCUUGUAGAGGGGGGUAGAAUUCCAGGUGUAGCGGUGAAAUGCGUAGAGAUCUGGAGGAAUACCGGUGGCGAAGGCGGCUCCCUGGACAAAGACUGACGCUCAGGUGCGAAAGCGUGGGGAGCAAACAGG
This 759-nucleotide ribosomal RNA is filed under the name uncultured Enterobacteriaceae bacterium. RNAcentral describes it as "bacterial SSU rRNA". It matches the Rfam family "Bacterial small subunit ribosomal RNA", at positions 28 to 776 of the family's 1533-position model. The record is from RNAcentral. Lineage: Bacteria; Pseudomonadati; Pseudomonadota; Gammaproteobacteria; Enterobacterales; Enterobacteriaceae.